Small nuclear RNA from Trichosurus vulpecula (common brushtail), 103 nucleotides. The record is from RefSeq and is a predicted model, not a curated record. Lineage: Eukaryota; Metazoa; Chordata; Mammalia; Diprotodontia; Phalangeridae.
GUGGUCUCUUUGGCAGCACAUAUACAGAAAUUGGAAUGAUGCAGAGAUUAGUGUGGCCCUGCACUAGGAUGACAUGUAAAUUCAUGAAAUGUUUCACUUUUUU